RNAcentral lists this ribosomal RNA (375 nucleotides) under uncultured bacterium. RNAcentral's name for it is "partial 16S ribosomal RNA". It matches the Rfam family "Bacterial small subunit ribosomal RNA", at positions 338 to 729 of the family's 1533-position model. The record is from RNAcentral.
CCUACGGGUGGCAGCAGUGGGGAAUAUUGGACAAUGGGGGAAACCCUGAAGCAGCAACGCCGCGUGCGUGAAGAAGGAUUUCGGAGUGUAAAGCUCUAUCUGCAGGGAAGAAGACAGACGGUACCUGAUCAAGCAGCCACGGCCAACUACGUGCCAGCAGCCGAGGUAAUACGUAGGGGGCAAGCGUUAUCCGGAUUUACUGGGUUUAAGGGGAGCGUAGGCGGCUGUGUAAGUCUGAAGUGAAAGCCCGUGGCUCAACCGCGGAACUGCGUUGGAAACUGUAUAGCUAGAGUACUGGAGCGGCAGGCGGAAUGCCUAGUGUAGCGGUGAAAUGCGUAGAUAUUAGACAGAACACCAGUGGCGAAGGCAGCCUGC